Long non-coding RNA from Erpetoichthys calabaricus (reedfish), 1358 nucleotides. RefSeq lists it as uncharacterized. Lineage: Eukaryota; Metazoa; Chordata; Cladistia; Polypteriformes; Polypteridae. The record is from RefSeq and is a predicted model, not a curated record. The transcript has 3 exons.
AACUUUACUAAAUCUUACAAGAACUAUUUACAGGAAAUCUUACUGUAAUUAAAAAAAAAAAAACUCAGUUCAUGAUCACAAAAACAAACGGCCCAGUGGCAGCCCCAGACAAACGCAGCUUCUCUGAUGACAUUAUUGGUUUAAUAGGCUCCUAUAAGGCAGCAGGACACUGAGCCACCCAGCCUCUCUCCAGCUACAGCGUAUUCUCGCUCAACUGGCACGUGACCCGAAAUCGGAGACAGGCUGACGUCAUCCAAUGCGACGGCUCCUGAAGCCACACUGCUACAGUCUCGCCAUCUCUCUCACUUUGUGAAACAGUACACUGACUCAAGGCUGUUGUUGAUUGAGGCAGAAGUGUGAUCGAGUUCAGAAAGAAUCUCAUCGCCAAGAGGCAGAGAAGAAAAAGAAGAAGAUGCCAAAAAUGUAUCCAGCUGGCCAGAAGAGUUUACAGAAAGAACAUCAACGUGAAGAGGAUGUCUCUGAAAAGAGGAACAAAAGAAAGGGCAGGACUAACAUUCAGAGACCACGCAAAAUUAUAAACCGUAUGAAGGUGAAAGAUUGUAAUAUGGGCCCAGAUGAAGACUUAAACAGAUUGGGCUCCAGUUUGGGCAGACGCUGCUACUUGAAGGACAGUAAUGCCCACAAGCCGUCAGAAUCCUCGAAGACUAACACAGUGAGGCCCGAGAAGAAAUUGUGUCCAAAUCAAACUGGAGAAGAUUAUCAGAAUCUUGGGAGUGGAGUGAAGGUCCAACAGUCUCUGAAACAAGAAGACCAUCUUACACAGUUGGUGGUCAGCAGUAUUCACUACUUGAAUUAAACAUACAGUGCUGCUGGGGUCCCAGAAUUGUCUUAUCAGUUUAUGUUGAUGAAGGUUUGUACAAGUAGGGGCACAGGAUUGUGUUAAGAAAUAGAAAAGUCAGGAGGGAGGAGAUGAAAGAGGAACUUAACUUUGCUGAAAUGCGCAGCUGCAACAGGAGAAGACAUUCAAGUGAGAUAAGCGGUUUGUUAGCUUAGGCUGACAGGUGUAACUUGUGGUGCGUAACUUCUAUUUUUGUCAGUAGGUUUGACAAACCUUUUCAAAUCAUUAAAAGCCACCAGUCCCCUCUUUACCCACUGAAUCAAUCAUAACUUUUGAUUGUGCUAUCAGAUUUAAUAAAACCCCCUUGUUCUCACUAAAUGUUUUCAAGUGCAUUGUUCUGUUAAACUGUGACCAUCCCUUCUCCAUUAGUAAAUAGCUGAUUGACCUGACUUAAGCUACUUAACUGCACCACCAUAACAGGGAUGGAUGUGUGUCGUGUUAAAAGGAAAAAGUGUUUUAACUUUAUAGGAAAGGGCAGAGCAGGCUCUUUUCAAUUAGG